GAUGAACGCUGGCGGCGUGCCUAAUACAUGCAAGUCGAGCGAACAGACGAGGAGCUUGCUCCUCUGACGUUAGCGGCGGACGGGUGAGUAACACGUGGAUAACCUACCUAUAAGACUGGGAUAACUUCGGGAAACCGGAGCUAAUACCGGAUAAUAUAUUGAACCGCAUGGUUCAAUAGUGAAAGACGGUUUUGCUGUCACUUAUAGAUGGAUCCGCGCCGCAUUAGCUAGUUGGUAAGGUAACGGCUUACCAAGGCAACGAUGCGUAGCCGACCUGAGAGUGUGAGCAGGCACACUGGAACUGAGACACGGUCCAGACUCCUACGGGAGGCAGCAGUAGGGAAUCUUCCGCAAUGGGCGAAAGCCUGACGGAGCAACGCCGCGUGAGUGAUGAAGGUCUUCGGAUCGUAGAACUCUGUGAUUAGGGAAGAACAAAUGUGUAAGUAACUAUGCACGUCUUGACGGUACCGAAUCAGAAAGCCACUGCUAACUACGUG
This 497-nucleotide ribosomal RNA is filed under the name uncultured bacterium. Its description in RNAcentral is "partial 16S ribosomal RNA". It matches the Rfam family "Bacterial small subunit ribosomal RNA", at positions 28 to 507 of the family's 1533-position model. The record is from RNAcentral.